UUCUCUCUUUGUGAGCUUU
This 19-nucleotide small nuclear RNA is filed under the name Arabidopsis thaliana (thale cress). RNAcentral describes it as "snRNA_14809". The record is from RNAcentral. Lineage: Eukaryota; Viridiplantae; Streptophyta; Magnoliopsida; Brassicales; Brassicaceae.